This 430-nucleotide ribosomal RNA is filed under the name uncultured bacterium. RNAcentral's name for it is "bacterial SSU rRNA". It matches the Rfam family "Bacterial small subunit ribosomal RNA", at positions 42 to 469 of the family's 1533-position model. The record is from RNAcentral.
UCAGGCCUAACACAUGCAAGUCGAACGGCAGCGCGGGAGCAAUCCUGGCGGCGAGUGGCGAACGGGUGAGUAAUGCAUCGGAACGUGCCCGGUAGUGGGGGAUAACUGCUCGAAAGAGCAGCUAAUACCGCAUACGACCUGAGGGUGAAAGGGGGGGAUCGCAAGACCUCUCGCUAUCGGAGCGGCCGAUGUCGGAUUAGCUAGUUGGUGGGGUAAAGGCCCACCAAGGCAACGAUCCGUAGCUGGUCUGAGAGGACGACCAGCCACACUGGGACUGAGACACGGCCCAGACUCCUACGGGAGGCAGCAGUGGGGAAUUUUGGACAAUGGACGCAAGUCUGAUCCAGCCAUGCCGCGUGCGGGAAGAAGGCCUUCGGGUUGUAAACCGCUUUUGUCAGGGAAGAAAUCUUCUGGGCUAAUACCCGGGAGG